RNAcentral lists this ribosomal RNA (141 nucleotides) under uncultured bacterium. RNAcentral describes it as "partial 16S rRNA". It matches the Rfam family "Bacterial small subunit ribosomal RNA", at positions 355 to 511 of the family's 1533-position model. The record is from RNAcentral.
CGGGGAAUUUUCCGCAAUGGGCGAAAGCCUGACGGAGCAAUGCCGCGUGGAGGUGGAAGGCCUACGGGUCGUCAACUUCUUUUCUCGGAGAAGAAACAAUGACGGUAUCUGAGGAAUAAGCAUCGGCUAACUCUGCGCCAG